AUUGAACGCUGGCGGCAGGCCUAACACAUGCAAGUCGAGCGGAUGAAGGGAGCUUGCUCCUGGAUUCAGCGGCGGACGGGUGAGUAAUGCCUAGGAAUCUGCCUGGUAGUGGGGGAUAACGUCCGGAAACGGGCGCUAAUACCGCAUACGUCCUGAGGGAGAAAGUGGGGGAUCUUCGGACCUCACGCUAUCAGAUGAGCCUAGGUCGGAUUAGCUAGUUGGUGGGGUAAAGGCCUACCAAGGCGACGAUCCGUAACUGGUCUGAGAGGAUGAUCAGUCACACUGGAACUGAGACACGGUCCAGACUCCUACGGGAGGCAGCAGUGGGGAAUAUUGGACAAUGGGCGAAAGCCUGAUCCAGCCAUGCCGCGUGUGUGAAGAAGGUCUUCGGAUUGUAAAGCACUUUAAGUUGGGAAGAAGGGCAGUAAGUUAAUACCUUGCUGUUUUGACGUUACCAACAGAAUAAGCACCGGCUAACCUCGUG
This 484-nucleotide ribosomal RNA is filed under the name uncultured bacterium. RNAcentral describes it as "partial 16S ribosomal RNA". It matches the Rfam family "Bacterial small subunit ribosomal RNA", at positions 30 to 507 of the family's 1533-position model. The record is from RNAcentral.